CUUUAUUGUGAAAAAUUGAAAAUUUCAGCAAGAUACUUGUCAUAACCAAAAAAAAUAAAAAAAAACCAAAUUAUUAAACAGAAAUAAUGAAGCUAUAAAUAAAUAUGAUCAAUUAUGUAUUCUCUUCUAAGUAACCUUAUUAUUGUUUUCAAAACUCAUCCUGCUUUUCCUGUUUUAUAUUUGAACCCUGAGUUACAGGUUCGUCCAUUUCCUGAGCGUAUAUAAUCAUAGGUUUUGACUCUAAAGUUUGGCCUGGAAGUUGCUCUUCUAACUCAACAAAAUCCAUUCCUCGUAACUCUUCUUCAAAAGAUGCACGAAUAUGAAGGCCCGGUACUAGAUCUACUAACAGACAUAUGAUAGCUGUUAUGACGAAAGACCAUGCAGCAACAGAGGUAAAACCUGCAAAUUGAUAACCCAUUUGUUUCCAGUGAUGAACGGCCCAGCCCCCGUCUAUAACUGUAGCGCCAUCUGAGGCAGCGACAUCGGGAUGCGCUACUACACCGAGCACGAUGGAGCCAACAAUGCCGCCGAUACCGUGUAAGUUAAAGACACGAAGCGUUUCAUCAACGCCAAUCCAUUCAUUGAGGUCAUGAAGAAAGUUACAUACCAAUGCCGGUACGAUACCCCCAGCAGCGGCUCCCCAUGGAAAUACAAAUCCACAGGCUGGUGUGAUACCCACUAACCCUGCAAUGGCACCUUCGCAAAUACCUAUAGUGGAAAACUUUCUAUAACGGAUGUAAUCAAUAAUCGCCCAUGUCAAAGCACCAAAUGACGAGGAAAUGAGCGUGUUGGUCAUGAUAUAAGCUGUACGAAUAUUAACAGUCAAUAGAGUACCAGAAUUGAAGCAGAGCCAUGCAAACCAAAUCAAAACAACGCCAAUGUAAACCAUACCAGCAUCAUGCGGAGGAUUAUGAGCUAUCUUUCCUCUGCCGAAGGAAUUCUUCCAGGAAACAGAUUUGAACCCAAACCACCGCUUCCAAUUAGCUUUGCAGUUGUUUUGGGAAGACGACGGUAAAUCUGCAUUAUCGGUCGACCGAAUUGAAUCGGGUCUGUCUGGCUCGUCGACAACAAUGCGACGACCUAAACAUAAGGAAUAAGCGAGCGCAGCAAAACCAGAUGAAAUAUGUACGGGACCGCCGCCUGCAAAGUCAAGGGCACCCAAUGUGUAGAGCCAGCCAUUGGGUGCCCAUGUCCAGUAUGCCUGUGGACAAUAAACCAGCGUAAUGUAUAAAAAAGAUAUUACGAGAGAGGGAAUUAGCCUACCGCGCUCAGCCAUUGCCCCGGCAAACAAUUGAGCUGUCGCUACAGCAAAGAGACCACCAAAUGGAAAGUAAACAAUUGCUGGAAUUGUGGACCCUGGUAUAUAUGGUUCUAACCAAAGAUGGUUCAUCCCUCCUUGCCACAACGUUCCAUAAAAAGAGGACCCCGAUGAGCAAGCAAGAGAGUAUCCAAACAGAUACCAUUGAAUAAACACCACUGCUGUAACCAAAAACGACUGAGUCAAUAUUGAGAGAGCCGAAUUCUUUCUAACCAUCCCAGCAUAAUAAAGAGCUAUACCGGGGGUUACGGUAAAUACUACCACUGUACUCAAAAGUACGUACGCUAUAUCAGCAUUUGAGUAUUCGUUGGGAAACAGUUCUGUUACAGUCGCGAUAGUGGAGUUUGCGUCGCGACGUAAUAGCGCAUUCGGCUCGUUAAGCAUCUUUUCGUACACGACAAAUAAAUCGUAAAUCAGUCGUAAAUUAUACCGUACGUCACAGUAUCGUACGUAAACAGAGAGAUAAAUAGAGGA
Molecule: long non-coding RNA, 1792 nt
Filed under: Schizosaccharomyces pombe (fission yeast)
Lineage: Eukaryota; Fungi; Ascomycota; Schizosaccharomycetes; Schizosaccharomycetales; Schizosaccharomycetaceae
Source: RNAcentral